This 75-nucleotide antisense RNA is filed under the name Streptomyces scopuliridis RB72. RNAcentral's name for it is "ASpks TB sRNA". It matches the Rfam family "ASpks TB sRNA". Lineage: Bacteria; Bacillati; Actinomycetota; Actinomycetes; Kitasatosporales; Streptomycetaceae. The record is from Rfam by way of RNAcentral.
CUUGACGGAGCCGAGCAGCAGCGGCCGGUUCUCGUCGCGGCCCUGGCCGUAGGUGGCGAGCAGGGCCUGUGCCUC